AUUGAACGCUGGCGGCAGGCCUAACACAUGCAAGUCGAACGGUAACAGGAAGCAGCUUGCUGCUUUGCUGACGAGUGGCGGACGGGUGAGUAAUGUCUGGGAAACUGCCCGAUGGAGGGGGGUAACUACUGGAAACGGUAGCUAAUACCGCAUAACGUCGCAAGACCAAAGAGGGGGACCUUAGGGCCUCUUGCCAUCGGAUGUGCCCAGAUGGGAUUAGCUAGUAGGUGGGGUAACGGCUCACCUAGGCGACGAUCCCUAGCUGGUCUGAGAGGAUGACCAGCCACACUGGAACUGAGACACGGUCCAGACUCCUACGGGAGGCAGCAGUGGGGAAUAUUGCACAAUGGGCGCAAGCCUGAUGCAGCCAUGCCGCGUGUAUGAAGAAGGCCUUCGGGUUGUAAAGUACUUUCAGCGGGGAGGAAGGGAGUAAAGUUAAUACCUUUGCUCAUUGACGUUACCCGCAGAAGAAGCACCGGCUAACUCCGUG
RNAcentral lists this ribosomal RNA (490 nucleotides) under uncultured bacterium. RNAcentral's name for it is "partial 16S ribosomal RNA". It matches the Rfam family "Bacterial small subunit ribosomal RNA", at positions 30 to 507 of the family's 1533-position model. The record is from RNAcentral.